UUCUAUUAGAUUUUAUUAAUAGUAUAAUCUGCUCAAUGAUAUUAAAUAGCCGCAAUUACUGUGCUAAGGUAGCAUAAUCAUUUGUCUUUUAAUUAAAGACUAGAACAAAAGAUUAAACAUUUUAAUUAAUAUAUUCUAAUUAAUAAAUUUAAUUUGUUUUAAAUGUAAAAAAACAUUUAUAAAUAAGGAAGACGAUAAGACCCUAUUAAACUUAACUUUAGUUUAACUGGGGCAGUUAAUUAAUUAUUAUUUUAAUUUAAAUAAAAGUAUAAAAGAUCCUAUAUAAUAGAUUAAAUAAUCAAGUUACUAUAGGGAUAACAGCGUAAUAUUAAUUUAAAGAUCUUAAAAUAAAAGAUUACGACCUCGAUGUUGAAUUAAUAACCUAUAUAGUUGCAAUAAACAAUUAUAGGAAGUCUGUUCGACUUUAAAAACAUUACA
This 438-nucleotide ribosomal RNA is filed under the name Negayan paduana. RNAcentral's name for it is "partial 16S ribosomal RNA". Lineage: Eukaryota; Metazoa; Arthropoda; Arachnida; Araneae; Anyphaenidae. The record is from RNAcentral.